GGAACGAACGCUGGCGGCAUGCCUAAUACAUGCAAGUCGAACGAACACUUCGGUGUUAGUGGCGCGCGGGUGCGUAACGCGUGGGAAUCUGCCCUUGGGUUCGGAAUAACAGUUGGAAACGACUGCUAAUACCGGAUGAUAUCGAAAGAUCAAAGAUUUAUCGCCCAGGGAUGAGCCCGCGUAGGAUUAGCUAGUUGGUGAGGUAAAGGCUCACCAAGGCGACGAUCCUUAGCUGGUCUGAGAGGAUGAUCAGCCACACUGGGACUGAGACACGGCCCAGACUCCUACGGGAGCAGCAGUAGGGAAUAUUGGACAAGUGGGCGCAAGCCUGAAUCC
Molecule: ribosomal RNA, 336 nt
Filed under: uncultured soil bacterium
Lineage: Bacteria
Description: bacterial SSU rRNA
Rfam family: Bacterial small subunit ribosomal RNA
Source: RNAcentral